RNAcentral lists this ribosomal RNA (498 nucleotides) under uncultured bacterium. Its description in RNAcentral is "partial 16S ribosomal RNA". It matches the Rfam family "Bacterial small subunit ribosomal RNA", at positions 29 to 507 of the family's 1533-position model. The record is from RNAcentral.
AGCGAACGCUGGCGGCGUGCCUAACACAUGCAAGUCGAACGUGAAAAGGGAAACCUGAGUCACGUGGCGUACGGGUGAGUAACGCGUAGGUAAUCUACCCCAGAAUCUGGAAUAACCUGCCGAAAGGCGGGCUAAUACUGGAUAGAGCGAGGGAACUCGUAAGAGAGUUUUUCGGGAAAGGGAGCCCGCAAGGGCCUUCGUUCUGGGAUGAGCCUGCGUCUCAUUAGCUAGUUGGUAAGGUAACGGCUUACCAAGGCGAUGAUGAGUAGCUGGUCUGAGAGGAUGAUCAGCCACACUGGAACUGAAACACGGUCCAGACUCCUACGGGAGGCAGCAGUGGGGAAUCUUGCGCAAUGGACGAAAGUCUGACGCAGCCACGCCGCGUGAGUGAAGAAGGCCGUCGGGUUGUAAAGCUCUGUCGGAUGGGACGAACAUCUUCAUAGUGAAUAGCUAUGAGGACUGACGGUACCAGCAAAGGAAGCACCGGCUAACUCCGUG